Molecule: non-coding RNA, 2918 nt
Organism: Camelina sativa (false flax)
Lineage: Eukaryota; Viridiplantae; Streptophyta; Magnoliopsida; Brassicales; Brassicaceae
Source: RefSeq, a predicted model, not a curated record
UAGGAAGCAAAGGUUUAGGCUUCUAUCGUGGACUGAGAACAUGACCCUAAAAGAUAAGAUUAACGUCUCUUCAUGCUUAAUUUACUCUCGGAGUUUGUUCUUAGGUGUUUUUUUUUAACAUGCAUCUUUUGGGGCUCAAUAAUCCUUGUGAUGCAGAAUAGCAGAUGCUAUUUUGGGAAUUUUAAAGAUUCCAUUAGAUAAAUGAUAGCUAUUGUCUGUGGAUUCCACCAAGAGGUUUGACCGCAAUAGCUAUUAGAUUUGAUAGCCUUUGUUGGUCGAUAUGCUGCUGCUGGAAAAAUAACCCAUUUGGCCUUGGAAGAAAAUCUCAUGGCCUAGUUUGUUCUGUAGUGAAGGUCAGGUGGUAUUACUUUUUAUGGACUACAGUGAGUCUGCUGUGUUCCACUUCGAGAGAGAUUAUUUUGUUGGUCGUGGAUUGUAAGAACAAUCAUGCAAAACAGCCAAGUCUCCAUCUCUUUAUAGAGGUCUAAAGUGAGGAUUACUCAUUUAAACAAAAGCGAAAAAACCAGAAUGAAGAAAGAAGAUAAGAAGCUUUUGCAAGUUUAAACACCCGCUCUUCUGUUUAAUCUUGAACAAGGAGAUAUAUGGGAGAAUAUAAAAGGCUGAAGGUAGACGAAGAUAACAAAGAAGCUCUCUAAAUUCUCAAUAAAGAGAAAACCGAAAAUGUCACUAAGACACUAUUUCAAAGUUUGAGGUGGACAAGGAGAAGCUCUAUAUAUGAUAUGAGCAACUAAGUAAGCCAACAAACUCCUUUAGAGACCAUACUCACUUACCCCUGUAGAAUAGCAUGCGUGCAAAAAAAAGAGGUGACAAGAUACCUGAAUAGGGGAGGAUCUACAAAGAAAAGAUUUCCCAGUUGGAAGAAUCACUCAAGGUGUAUUGCAGCGGAGCUCUCCAAGUGAAAAUGGCGAUGGGCACUUGAGUGCUCGACGUUGAAAGCUAGUUGCAGCACUAAAGAAAAUGCCGUUCUAAAUACAAACUUUUCACAAAAUAGUUUUUUUUUUCUUGCUUUCUUUGACAGUGAAAUUUUUAUAUUUUGAAGGUUUAGUCAUUGCCAAUCUCUUUCACCCUCUCACAGUCCAAGAGAAGAAUAUCUAUGGUUCCUGCUUUUGGAAAAAUUUUCACCGUCCAGGUUUCCACUUUCAACUUGAUAAUUCUUAGAAAUCUUUGUGCUACUAUAAGAUGAUGAUUUUCUGCUGUUUCCGUUAAAUUUUGUUAGUAAGUCUACAUGGUUUGGCAACCCAUACAUGAUUUGGUAAGAGAAUUGUGAGUGAAUCAAGGUAUUGUUUGACAAAUGUGCAUACACAGAGUUUUCAUCAAGUUCAUGACCAUUGAUCAUAACAUAUGCAGUUUCAGGUAUUUUUCCCACUGUAGUUGUAGAAUUGAUGGUCACGACAUGAACAUAUUAAUGUCAUUUUGGUUUUCAGGUAAAUUUAAUGCUCUAGUCUGAUCAUCCAUAUUAAGUGCAGGACAAGAAGUGGAGCAUAGUGUCGGUGAUGAGACUACAAAGGGAUACUUGUAAUUAUUAAGUGUUGGUGUCUAUGCUGUUGUUUUUUGUGGACUUGCAGGGUUCAGUUAAGGAACUACAAAAGUCUGAUGCGUUCCUUGUUGAGAGAGAUUAUCAGUUGGUAGUGGUAUCUUUCGAGAAGUCAUGGUGUUUUCUCCUCUGUAGUAUGUCAUUCAGAUUUCAAGGUAAGAUAGAAACCGCGACUGGAUGUGAGUCAAAAGAAAGGAUAGGGCCUUCGUUUCGAUCUCCGGAGUUAUCUUUUAGUUUUUAAAGUUUAACUAUCCUCCAGUCCCAGGUAUGUAUCAUUAUUUACUUCAGUUUAGUAUUUCGAUUUUUUUUCUGAUGUAGUAACAUAUUUCAUAGCUAACAUACUUUCAGAAUUAUAUAGAGAUUGAACAGGUUAUAGACGGAAACAUAGAGAAUAAUAAUGUUAUGGUCCUUGGUUCCUAUAAUAACAUGAUCUAAGUUGAUCUCUUAACACAUAGCAUACAAUUAUGUUCAGUUUCUUGCAUUCAUGCAUGUUUGCUUCCUUGAUUCACAGCUUGAUUCUUCACUUGCAUCAUUAACCGUCAUUUCCUUGCUUAACUUGUGUUUGCUUAUUUCUUUCACUAGUUGCAUUCAUGCAUGGUUGCUUCCUUGAUUCAUUGAUUGCUUCUUUACUUGCAUCAUUAACCAGCACUUCCUUGCUUAACUUGCGUUUGCUUGUUUCUUUCACUAGUUGACUUCAUAUAUGGUUGCUUCCUUGAUUCACUGCUUGAUUCUUUACUUGCAUCAUUAACUGUCAUUUCCUUGCUUAACUUGCAUUUGCUUGUUUCUUUCACUAGUUGCUUUCAUGCUAGCUUAGCUCAUUUACUUGAUGCUUUCUUUGUUUCUUGCUUGCUCAUUUUUUCAGUUCAUUUAUUAACUUGUUUGUGUGCUUACUUCCUCAUUUCGUUAUUUGGCUACAUGCUUAUCUUGUUUCAUUCUCUGUUUCUUCGAUCUUUGUUUACUAUAUCAUUCGUUGCUUAACUUGUUUGUAUGUUUCCUUACUUCUUUCAUAUUUUGCUUGCAUGCUUGACUUAUUUUCGCACUUUCCUCUUUGCUUUCUUCACUUAAUUCAUUGUUUGCUUCCAUGCUUUAUUCGCUCUUUUUAUUGUGUGCUUUCUUGUUUCCUUAUUACUUGCAUACAUAUAUUCAUGGAUACAUCAUACAUUUAUAGACGAAAAUAUGUAUGUACACUUGCAUACUUCCUUGUACACGUACAUAAUUGAUUUGUUUUUCUGUUUUGCUUCCUUGAUUUCUUAAUGUAUCUGGAUCUCCGAUGUGAAUUGGGUACCAUAGGAAAUCGAUGUCUUAAAAAUUUGAUUACAUAUACAUAUAUACAAUAAAACCUCUAUAAAUUAAUAAUGUUGGG